AGGGUUUGAUCCUGGCUCAGAAUGAACGUUGGCGGCGUGGAUCAGGCAUGCAAGUCGUACGAAUGCCGGUUGGGUAACUGACCGGAGGAAGUGGCGAAAGGGGCAGUAAGGCAUGGGUAACCUGCCCCGGACUUUGGAAUAGCCUUCCUAACGGAAGGGUAAUACCAAAUGCCGUAUCGGGGGGGCAUCCUCCUGCUACGAAAGCUUCGGCGGUCCGGGUGGGGCUCAUGUGGUAUUAGCUAGUUGGUGAGGUAACGGCUCACCAAGGCAAAGAUGCCUAGCGGGUGUGAGAGCACGACCCGCGCCACUGGCACUGCGACACUGGCCAGACUCCUACGGGAGGCUGCAGUCGAGGAUCUUCGGCAAUGGGCGAAAGCCUGACCGAGCGACGCCGCGUGGGCGAUGAAGGCCUUCGGGUUGUAAAGCCCUGUCGUGGGGGAGAAAAGCGCAAGCUUGAUCGACCCCAGGAGGAAGCUCGGGCUAAGUUCGUGCCAGCAGCCGCGGUAAGACGAACCGAGCGAACGUUAUUCGGAAUCACUGGGCUUAAAGGGCGCGUAGGCGGGCCUCCAAGUCAGGGGUGAAAUCCCACGGCUCAACCGUGGAAGUGCCUUUGAUACUGGCGGCCUUGAGCGAGGUAGGGGCGUGCGGAACUUCCGGUGGAGCGGUGAAAUGCGUAGAUAUCGGAAGGAACACCGGUGGCGAAAGCGGCACGCUGGACCUCUUCUGACGCUGAGGCGCGAAAGCUAGGGGAGCAAACGGGAUUAGAUACCCCGGUAGUCCUAGCCCUAAACGAUGGGCACUAGAUUGUAGACUUACAUGGGUUUACAGUCGAAGCAAAAGUGUUAAGUGCCCCGCCUGGGGAGUAUGGUCGCAGGGCUGAAACUCAAAGGAAUUGACGGGGGCUCACACAAGCGGUGGAGCAUGUGGCUUAAUUCGAGGCAACGCGAAGAACCUUAUCCUGGGCUUGACAUGCGCGAAAGCGGUAGGGGUAGCUGGUGGAAACAUCAGUGACGCCCGCAAGGGUAGUCCUACCACAGGUGCUGCAUGGCUGUCGUCAGCUCGUGUCGUGAGAUGUCGCGUUAAGUCGCAUAACGAGCGCAACCCCUGUCUCCAGUUGCCAGCGCCUCGGGCGGGGACUCUGGAGAGACUGCCGGUGUUAAACCGGAGGAAGGUGGGGAUGCCGUCAAGUCCUCAUGGCCCUUAUGCCCAGGGCUGCACACGUGCUACAAUGGCGCGCACAAAGGGAAGCGAACUUGCAAAAGCCAGCAAAUCCCAAAAAACGCGCCCCAGUUCAGAUCGCAGUCUGCAACUCGACUGCGUGAAGUUGGAAUCGCUAGUAAUCGCGGGUCAGCAACACCGCGGUGAAUGUGUUCCUGAGCCUUGUACACACCGCCCGUCAAGCCACGAAAGGGAGGGAGGGGCCAAGUCGCCGUGCCGACCGCAAGGAGGCAAGCCCUAACCCUUAAUUCCUGAUUGGGACUAAGUCGCAACAAGGU
This 1496-nucleotide ribosomal RNA is filed under the name metagenome. RNAcentral describes it as "bacterial SSU rRNA". It matches the Rfam family "Bacterial small subunit ribosomal RNA". The record is from RNAcentral.